CAUCGCCACGGUAAUACGUAGGUCCCGAGCGUUAUCCGGAUUUAUUGGGCGUAAAGGGCUCGCAGGCGGUUUCUUAAGUCUGAUGAGAAAGCCCCCGGCUCAACCGGGGAGGGUCAUUGGAGACUGGGAAACUUGAGUGCAGAAGAGGAGAGUGGAAUUCCACGUGUAGCGGUGAAAUGCGUAGAGAUGUGGAGGAACACCGGUGGCGAAAGCGGCUCUCUGGCUUGUAACUGACGCUGAGGCUCGAAAGCGUGGGGAGCAAACAGGAUUAGAUACCCCCGUAGUCCCUGUCUCUUAUACA
Molecule: ribosomal RNA, 301 nt
Filed under: uncultured bacterium
Lineage: Bacteria
Description: partial 16S ribosomal RNA
Rfam family: Bacterial small subunit ribosomal RNA
Source: RNAcentral